GGAGAGAUGGCCCAGUUGGUAAAGCAAUUGCUUUGCAAGCAGGAGAACCUGAGAUAGAUCCUCAGUAUUUACA
This 73-nucleotide transfer RNA is filed under the name Neotoma lepida (desert woodrat). It matches the Rfam family "tRNA". From Rfam's summary of the family: Transfer RNA (tRNA) molecules are approximately 80 nucleotides in length. Their secondary structure includes four short double-helical elements and three loops (D, anti-codon, and T loops). The record is from Rfam by way of RNAcentral. Lineage: Eukaryota; Metazoa; Chordata; Mammalia; Rodentia; Cricetidae.